RNAcentral lists this transfer RNA (72 nucleotides) under Candidatus Woesearchaeota archaeon. RNAcentral's name for it is "tRNA-Thr". It matches the Rfam family "tRNA". Rfam says of the family: Transfer RNA (tRNA) molecules are approximately 80 nucleotides in length. Their secondary structure includes four short double-helical elements and three loops (D, anti-codon, and T loops). Lineage: Archaea; Nanobdellati; Candidatus Woesearchaeota. The record is from RNAcentral.
GCCCUCGUAGCUCAGUCGCAGAGCGGCUGACUCGUAAUCAGCAGGUCGGGGGUUCAAAUCCCUCCGGGGGCU